GGUCUAAUAGUGUAGCGGUUAUCACAGUGGAUUUUGAUUACAUCACCCUCGUGGUGCUUACACCUUCCAUUAACCCAGGUUCGAUUCCUGGUUAGACCU
Marasmius sp. AFHP31 is the source of this 99-nucleotide non-coding RNA. Lineage: Eukaryota; Fungi; Basidiomycota; Agaricomycetes; Agaricales; Marasmiaceae. The record is from the annotation of a GenBank genome assembly.